UUGUAAUUUGAAGAUGGUAACUUUGGAGUUGGCCCUUGUCUAUGUUCCUUGGAACAGGACGUCACAGAGGGUGAGAAUCCCGUCUGGCGAGGUGAUCCAGCUCCAUGUAAAGUGCUAUCGAAGAGUCGAGUUGUUUGGGAAUGCAGCUCUAAGUGGGUGGUAAAUUCCAUCUAAAGCUAAAUAUUGGCGAGAGACCGAUAGCGAACAAGUACAGUGAUGGAAAGAUGAAAAGAACUUUGAAAAGAGAGUGAAAAAGUACGUGAAAUUGUUGAAAGGGAAGGGUAUUAGAUCAGACUUGGUGUUUUACGAUUAUCUUCCCUUCUUGGGUUGUGCACUCGUUUUGCACUGGGCCAGCAUCGAUUCGGGCGGCAAGAUAAUGGCAAUUGAAUGUGGCAUGCCUUCGGGGAUGUGUUAUAGCUUUUGUUGAUGUUGCCUGCCUGGAUCGAGGACUGCGUCUUUUGACU
Molecule: ribosomal RNA, 464 nt
Filed under: Wickerhamomyces sp.
Lineage: Eukaryota; Fungi; Ascomycota; Saccharomycetes; Phaffomycetales; Wickerhamomycetaceae
Description: LSU rRNA
Rfam family: Eukaryotic large subunit ribosomal RNA
Source: RNAcentral